This 1503-nucleotide ribosomal RNA is filed under the name Triticum aestivum (bread wheat). RNAcentral describes it as "partial small subunit ribosomal RNA". The record is from RNAcentral. Lineage: Eukaryota; Viridiplantae; Streptophyta; Magnoliopsida; Poales; Poaceae.
AUGGUUAAACAGAGCCAUGUCGCAUUGGAGCUAUUGUUUGCUUCUAAAACAUCGCAUCACAGCCAUUCAUUCCAACAACGUCGCACUCCUUCCAAUUCGCAUGAAAAACGUCGCACAGGAGCUAUUGGCCCCCUCCUGCUUGUGCUGCUCUCGCGCUCGGCGUCGGCGUCGGCGUCGACGGUGGUCACCCACCUGCCAGGAUUCGAUGGCCCUCUACCCUUCAAUCUUGAAACCGGAUACAUGGGCGUGGAGGAGGAGACUGGGACGGAGCUCUUCUACUACUUCGUCGAGUCGGAGAGGAGCCCCGGCACGGACCCCGUCAUCCUAUGGUUCACCAGCGGGCCCGGCUGCUCGGGCUUCAGCGGCAUGGUCUUCGAAGUCGGUCCUAUGAAUUUUGUGUUAGCACCUUAUAAUGGUAGUUUGCCGCAGCUGGUAUAUAAUCCCUACUCAUGGUCGAAGAUUGCAAGCAUCAUCUUCUUGGAUUCUCCUGUCGGUUCUGGCUUCUCGUAUGCUCGUGAUCCCAAAGUUUAUGAUGUCGGGGACAUGUCGUCUUCUUUGCAAGCUGUCACAUUUCUGAAGAAGUGGUUCAGCGAUCACCCACGCUAUGUUUCAAAUCCUUUUUACCUUGGAGGAAGUUCAUAUGCUGGAAAGAUGAUUCCAGUCAUCGCACAAUACAUCUCAGAAGGAAAUGGACAAAGAAGGCAACCUGAGAUUAAUCUCAAAGACUAUCUACUUGGUAACCCUAUUACGGGCUCCAGGUUUGAUGAUUUCAACUCCAAAAUACCAUAUGCCCAUGGUGUUGGAAUUAUAUCUGAUCAACUAUAUGAGGCUGCAAUGGCAAACUGUGAAGGAGACUAUGUAAACCCAGUGACUAAAAUGUGCGUGGGGGUUGUAAAUACCAUUCAAAAUCUCAUAUCUGAAGUUGAGGAAGGAUAUAUCUUGGAUGAUAGAUGUGUACGUGCUGCUCCAAAACCUGUGAAGGAUGAUUCUUUAAGUAGCACGUUUCUAUCAGAAGAACAGAUUCAGCCAACCGAAUCAUCUGCUCAUCCUACUAUCAAUUGUUUUCAGUCAUAUCGGUACUACCUAUCUAACAUUUGGGCGAAUUACAACAGGACUAGAGAUGCUCUUAAGAUCAAGAAGGGAACCAUUGGCAAGUGGGUAAGAUGCAACAGUGAAUUCCCCUAUACACGCGACGUCCCAAGUAGCAUAGGGUACCAGUUCAACCUCACCACCAGGGGCUACCGUGCGCUUGUAUUCAGCGGAGACCAUGAUCUUUUGGUACCAUUUUUGGGAAUACAGGCAUGGAUAAGAUCCUUCAACUUCUCCAUUGUUGAUAACCGGAGAGCAUGGCAUGUGGAUGGCCAGUCUGCAGGAUUUACAAUUGCAUAUGCAAACCAUAUGACAUUUGCAACAGUAAAGGGUGGUGGUCGUACAGCUGUAAGCUACCGGCCUAAACAAGGAUUGGCCAUGGCUCAGCGGUGGCUUGGCAAUAAGCCGUUGUGA